Numida meleagris (helmeted guineafowl) is the source of this 978-nucleotide long non-coding RNA. RefSeq lists it as uncharacterized. The transcript is spliced from 2 exons. Lineage: Eukaryota; Metazoa; Chordata; Aves; Galliformes; Numididae. The record is from RefSeq and is a predicted model, not a curated record.
CGGCGGAGCUUCACCUGCGGGCAGCGGGGAAGGGAGAAAGACGCGGAACGCGGGACUGAUACCGCUCCGUCUCUACAGAGGUGACGGAGCUCCGUACCAGCACUGAAGAGAGGAAGCGCCGCGCCUCCAUCUUGAGGAGUGGGCGUAGGGAACGGCCGCGCUCGGGGGCAGCAGGUGGCGCCGCCCCCCGGCAGGGACGGCAGCUCGAAAUGGCGCCCUAAGCGCUCCGAGCUGGCCGCGGCGGAGGGGCGCGGCUGUCGGCAGCAUGUCCUGCUGCGGAUCCUGCUGCAGCGGCGUCUCACGCAGAAUGAUCCCGAGAAGGGGCUUUUAUUUUUGGAGUGUCGAUGCUGCUGCUGGAGAUAAAGAGGAAAGAAGCCUAGGAGGAUUCUUCCAGAAAGAUCACAAGAUACUGAAGCAAGGAGUUUUCAGGCAAAGGUUGCUGAGCCUUCUUUGCCAUGUGACUUCGUGCAUCGGUGCUUGAAAGACAAACUCCGUAUCCCUGCUGGUCUGCCUAAGGCCCUUGAAGAUAGGAACCUGCCUGCUUCGUGUCAUCAUGCUGCAUGGAAGUCUCUGUGCAUGGCUGGUGACUGUUCUGUGUCCAAGGACAAUGUUUUGGGGAUACUGUCACUCUUGGUAGAGAUUUUCCAUUUUGUGCAGUGAACAGGUGCAUGGGGACUGCUGCAGUUGGUAAAGGCAGCCAAGGCCAGCACUUCUCCAUCAUUAGCUGUUCCUAGGUGACAUACUCUGGGGUGAGCACCUGAAUCUACACAUCUUCUUUCUACUCUACUUCUGGUUCUUCCAUUGCCUUUUUUUUUUUUUUUAAGAACAUCAAGCUAAAGACCCCCUGUUGCUCAACUGGCAAAAGCCCAUAUCCUAAAGACAAGUAGGAAGUUUAGUUUCUGACAUAUGAAGACUCUGUAAGAGUACCCAUAUAUUUUUCACCAUAGCUUUUCAUUAAAAUAUUCAGUAUUUCUGUCA